This 253-nucleotide ribosomal RNA is filed under the name uncultured bacterium. Its description in RNAcentral is "partial 16S ribosomal RNA". It matches the Rfam family "Bacterial small subunit ribosomal RNA", at positions 524 to 776 of the family's 1533-position model. The record is from RNAcentral.
UACAGAGGGUGCGAGCGUUAAUCGGAAUUACUGGGCGUAAAGCGUGCGUAGACGGCUAUCUAAGUCGGGUGUGAAAGCCCCGGGCUCAACCUGGGAAUUGCAUUCGAGACUGAAUAGCUAGGGUACGGUAGAGGGAAGUGGAAUUUCCGGUGUAGCGGUGAAAUGCGUAGAUAUCGGAAGGAACAUCAGUGGCGAAGGCGGCUCACUGGACCGGAACUGACGCUGAGGCGCGAAAGCGUGGGGAGCAAACAGG